Long non-coding RNA from Sarcophilus harrisii (Tasmanian devil), 281 nucleotides. RefSeq lists it as uncharacterized. NCBI's taxonomy places the organism in Eukaryota, Metazoa, Chordata, Mammalia, Dasyuromorphia, Dasyuridae. The record is from RefSeq and is a predicted model, not a curated record. The transcript has 2 exons.
GUGCUGGAGGCCCACAUCUGACAAGGCUUCUAAGCCAUGACACCUUUUGCCCAACUGUUACCAGAUAGAAGGUGAAUGAGAUGAAAAAAGAGACUGUGUACUUCAUAUUAGAUUAAUGGAAUUGAGGUGAAUUAAGCCCAGGAAAGGAAGAAGGCAGGCCAGGCAACUCAACCGGCAUUUCUUGGCUCUUCCUGCCUGCCUGUGGAAGAUGACUGGGAAUGCAGACUGUGGGAGGAAAUGACAAUGUUCAUUGUUUGGAUUAAAUAUUUUUCUUGGCCUUC